Molecule: ribosomal RNA, 495 nt
Filed under: uncultured bacterium
Lineage: Bacteria
Description: partial 16S ribosomal RNA
Rfam family: Bacterial small subunit ribosomal RNA
Source: RNAcentral
GAUGAACGCUGGCGGCGUGCCUAAUACAUGCAAGUAGAACGCUGAAGGAGGAGCUUGCUCUUCUGGAUGAGUUGCGAACGGGUGAGUAACGCGUAGGUAACCUGCCUGGUAGCGGGGGAUAACUAUUGGAAACGAUAGCUAAUACCGCAUGACAACAGUUAUUGCAUGAUAACUGUUUAAAAGGGGCAACUGCUCCACUACCAGAUGGACCUGCGUUGUAUUAGCUAGUUGGUGAGGUAACGGCUCACCAAGGCGACGAUACAUAGCCGACCUGAGAGGGUGAUCGGCCACACUGGGACGGAGACACGGCCCAGACGCCUACGGGAGGCAGCAGUAGGGAAUCUGCGGCAAUGGACGGAAGUCUGACCGAGCAACGCCGCGGGAGUGAAGAAGGUUGUCGGAUCGUAAAGCUCGGUUGUAAGAGAAGAACGAGUGUGAGAGUGGAAAGUUCACACUGUGACGGUAGCUGACCAGAAAGGGACGGCUAACUACGUG